AUUGAACGCUGGCGGCAUGCCUUACACAUGCAAGUCGAACGGUAACAGGUCUUCGGAUGCUGACGAGUGGCGAACGGGGGCGUAAUACACAGGAACGUGCCUAGGCGUGGGGGAUAACUACUCCAAAGAGUGGCUAAAACUGAAUCCGAUCUACGGAGGAAAGCAGGGGAUGGCAAGACUCGGUGCUACUAGAGCGGCCGAUGGCAGAAUAGGUAGUUGGUGGGAUAAAAGCUUACCAAGCCGACGAUCUGUAGCUGGUCUGAGAGGACGAUCAGCCACACUGGGACUGAGACACGGCCCAGACUCCUACGGGAGGCAGCAGUGGGGAAUUUUGGACAAUGGGCGAAAGCCUGAUCCAGCAAUGCCGCGUGCAGGAAGAAGGCCUUCGGGUUGUAAACUGCUUUUGUACGGAACGAAAAGCCCCGGGUUAAUACCCUGGGGUCAUGACGGUACCGUAAGAAUAAGCACCGGCUAACUACGUGCCAGCAGCCGCCGUAA
This 498-nucleotide ribosomal RNA is filed under the name uncultured bacterium. Its description in RNAcentral is "partial 16S ribosomal RNA". It matches the Rfam family "Bacterial small subunit ribosomal RNA", at positions 30 to 523 of the family's 1533-position model. The record is from RNAcentral.